UGGGUUGUGGCUCAGUGGUAGAGCGCUCGCCUAGCAUGUGUGAGGCCCUGGGUUCUAUCCUCAGCACCACAU
RNAcentral lists this transfer RNA (72 nucleotides) under Marmota marmota marmota (Alpine marmot). It matches the Rfam family "tRNA". From Rfam's summary of the family: Transfer RNA (tRNA) molecules are approximately 80 nucleotides in length. RNAcentral also lists the same sequence under 1 other name. The record is from Rfam by way of RNAcentral. Lineage: Eukaryota; Metazoa; Chordata; Mammalia; Rodentia; Sciuridae.